Molecule: ribosomal RNA, 489 nt
Filed under: uncultured bacterium
Lineage: Bacteria
Description: bacterial SSU rRNA
Rfam family: Bacterial small subunit ribosomal RNA
Source: RNAcentral
AUACCGCAUACGACCUGAGGGUGAAAGCGGGGGAUCGCAAGACCUCGCGCGAUAGGAGCGGCCGAUGCCGGAUUAGCUAGUUGGUGAGGUAAUGGCCUACCAAGGCGAAGACGCUUAGCUGGUCUGAGAGGAUGAUCAGCCACACUGGGACUGAGACACGGCCCAGACUCCUACGGGAGGCAGCAGUGGGGAAUAUUGGACAAUGGGCGCAAGCCUGAUCCAGCCACGCCGCGUGAGUGAUGAAGGCCUCGGGUCGUAAGCUCUGUGGGGAGGGACGGAACGGCGCCAUGAAGAGUGGCGAUUGACGGUACCUCCUUAGCAAGCACCGGCUAACUUCGUGCCAGCAGCCGCGGUAAUACGAAGGGUGCAAACGUUGCUCGGAAUCAUUGGGCGUAAAAGCGCACGUAGGCGGCUUUCUAAGUCGGAUGUGAAAUCCCUCGGCUUAACCGAGGACGUGCAUCCGAAACUGGGAGGCUUGAGUAUGGAAGA